RNAcentral lists this long non-coding RNA (1417 nucleotides) under Oreochromis niloticus (Nile tilapia). Its description in RNAcentral is "lncRNA (ENSONIG00000039240.1)". The record is from RNAcentral. Lineage: Eukaryota; Metazoa; Chordata; Actinopteri; Cichliformes; Cichlidae.
UACAUGUGUAAAUGUGUAAGUCACAUACAGUAUCCAGUUACAGAAAGUUAUGUUAAACAUUAAGAAACAAAAUAAAAUAGUAAAUCUAUAAUUUAUUUAUUUAUUUGCUUGUUUCACUGAAUAUGGUUUUCCAUUUCUUACAUGGCUCUUGUACAUGGUUAAAAUGGAAGAUGUCUGGAUACAUUUUUAGGCAUUCAAAGCACAGGAUUUCAACGAAACUAAACUAAAAUCAGUUCUUAUAAAGUAAAGCCUUUACAAGAACAUAGGGGAGCAGUCAACAACAUUUCACGGGUGAAGAUAUGCACACUAACUUUAUGUUUAUUGCACAAAAGGGGGAGUGGACCAUGGUAAAGUGAAAACUGCAUCCAGGAAAAAAAAUAACUACAAUGUUUUUGCAAGCAUCUGCGCAAAUUAACACAAAGCUAGCCAAGAACCCAGAGUGAUGGAGCUGCCAGAUCCCUUUGUAUUUCUACAGCAGAAUUGAUGUUGCAAUCACUUUGAAGUCUCUUUGGGCUGGUUUCCAUCUUUUCUUGUUGUUGUCGGUUUUGUGAAAGAGUGUUUUAUAAUUAGGAUAGGGAUUUGUGUUGGUGUGUGGGACUUUAGCCUAAAGUCUAUAUUCUUAAUUGGUAAUUAUGAGACAUUGCAUUUCAGGUCAUUUUACUGAUGAUGAGAAAGUAAUGUAACAAGUAGUGUAACAAAUUACUUUCUCUGGCGAUGAACAUACUGCAUUCAUUUUUUUUUUUUUUUAAAUGUGUAAUACAUAAUACAUAAUACUUUCUUUGUAACGAUCCCUACACUGAAAAGUAUACAUUGUUCUAAGCUUGGAAAUGACUCAGGAGUUUUGACUGUCAUCUUCCAACUUACAAUUACUGAAAACAAAACAAUAAAUAUCUAAGAGCGCUUAUUAAAAAUACUAAAGCCGAAAUCAUCAUCAUGUCAGUUAUCUUUCAAUAGAAAAAAAAACUCAAUUCAAGCUCAAGAUUUUUUGCAAGAUUGUUCUAUUACCUGUCACACUUUCCUCACUUUGACAUGAUUUAGAUCAUUUUAGACAUUUUACUAACAACGUCAACAAAAAUGUUUCACUGUGUUUCAGUGUGCAUUCAGCAUGCUGUAUAUCAUGUCUUGUGAAUCUGGUGGAUCUGUUUCUUCAGAGAUGGUGGCGUACACAUGGUAAAUGUCAGACUAGAAGAGAAAGAGUAAUGACCUUUUAGUCAGUAGCAUUGAUUAAGAAGCGGACAUAUUUAUUACUACACCAGGGUUAACUUACAUCUUCAUUUUUUGUCUGUUCCAAGUUUAGUUUCUCUCCUGAAAGAGAACAACACGGAAAAAUUAUUGCUUUCAAUCAGGAUUAAAACACACACACACACACACGCAUACACACAAGUGUAAGACAACAUAUAGUCCAGUGGGUUCACAA